CGCGUAGGCGGGCGGUCAAGUCUGUGGUGAAAUCCUUCGGCUCAACCGGAGAAUAGCUGGAGAUACUGGCCGUCUCGAGGGGGGUAGGGGCAUGUGGAACUUCCGGUGGAGCGGUGAAAUGCGUAGAUAUCGGAAGGAACGCCGGUGGCGAAAGCGACGUGCUGGACCCUUUCUGACGCUGAGGCGCGAAAGCCAGGGGAGCAAACG
This 207-nucleotide ribosomal RNA is filed under the name uncultured bacterium. Its description in RNAcentral is "partial 16S ribosomal RNA". It matches the Rfam family "Bacterial small subunit ribosomal RNA", at positions 568 to 774 of the family's 1533-position model. The record is from RNAcentral.